AAACUGUGGGGAUCUAGCCACAACAUGUAUCACCCCAUUAAUCUCCAGGGUUGAUUUGGCUGAUCUGGCUGGCUAAGUGGGUGACCCCUUUCUCCCUGACCACUCCAUGUGUGUCCCUUUGAAGCUGUGAGCUUGGUCAAAGAUGACCUUCUUUAAUAGAGGAGGACUGUUCUUCAGUCAUGAGUAUAUAAGUGGCUGUGCUACCCUUUGAACAAGCUCUCAAACUGUGGGGAUCUUCCUCUGCUCUGUAGCCCAGA
Molecule: small nuclear RNA, 257 nt
Filed under: Cebus imitator (Panamanian white-faced capuchin)
Lineage: Eukaryota; Metazoa; Chordata; Mammalia; Primates; Cebidae
Description: 7SK RNA (ENSCCAG00000010993.1)
Rfam family: 7SK RNA
About the family: 7SK was discovered as an abundant small nuclear RNA in the mid-70s but a possible function has only recently been suggested. Two independent studies have found that 7SK RNA binds the CDK9/cyclin T complex (known as elongation factor P-TEFb).
Source: Rfam by way of RNAcentral